Molecule: non-coding RNA, 24 nt
Filed under: Arabidopsis thaliana (thale cress)
Lineage: Eukaryota; Viridiplantae; Streptophyta; Magnoliopsida; Brassicales; Brassicaceae
Source: RNAcentral
GGAGAGCCACGGCCUGCCGCUUCU